Molecule: ribosomal RNA, 253 nt
Filed under: uncultured bacterium
Lineage: Bacteria
Description: partial 16S ribosomal RNA
Rfam family: Bacterial small subunit ribosomal RNA
Source: RNAcentral
UACGGAGGGUGCAAGCGUUAUCCGGAUUUACUGGGCUUAAAGGGUGCGUAGGUGGGUCUGUAAGUCAGUGGUGAAAUCUUCGAGCUUAACUCGGAAACUGCCAUUGAUACUAUAGGUCUUGAAUUAUCUGGAGGUGAGCGGAAUAUGUCAUGUAGCGGUGAAAUGCUUAGAUAUGACAUAGAACACCAAUUGCGAAGGCAGCUCACUACGGAUUUAUUGACACUGAGGCACGAAAGCGUGGGGAUCAAACAGG